This 1146-nucleotide long non-coding RNA is filed under the name Equus caballus (horse). RNAcentral describes it as "lncRNA (ENSECAG00000047169.1)". The record is from RNAcentral. Lineage: Eukaryota; Metazoa; Chordata; Mammalia; Perissodactyla; Equidae.
CAGGCAGAGAUGCAAAAGUCUAAGAGCAAAGGUGCAUUUAAGAAUUCUUCUAGUUCUCCACCACACUUAAAAAGGUUUUGUUUGUGUGCAGGAACAUUUGUAGGUUUUCGUCGGUUGCUUAUUUUUUUCCCAAGGUCUUUGUGAAUUGUUCAAACAGGGCAUCUUGGCUGGGCAGCUGGGGAGAGGGACCACAGCCUUCCUUCGGAUGGCUCCUUUGCACCCACUAAUUGCCUGGGAGCUGCUGGUUUUGUGAGGGGUAGAGAGGAGCAGGAAUUUCGGAGGGCCUGGCUGAGUGGUUUACCUGUUUUACGUGAUGCGUCUGGGACAGCUGGACGACUCACUUCCAGUAGGGCUUUUCACUCACAUCUGGCCUGCUCCAUGCUCCUUGGGCUCUCUCUCCCCAUGUCGUGUCUCAUCUUUCAGGGUCUGCGCAUGUAGCUUGACCUUCUUACAGCCUGGUGGUCUCAGGGUAGCUGCAUUUCUUACAUGGCGGCUGGCUUCCAAGAGGCAAGAAGUGGAAGAAGCCAGGCCAAUCCAGGGCUACGCCAAGAACGGGCAGUGGAUCAUUUCUACCACAGGAUAGUGAUCAAAGCAGGCUGGAGUCCUUCUCGGCUGAAGGAGUGGAGAAGUAGACUCCACUACUGCUGGGGGAAUGGCAAGUUCACACUGCAGAAGAGCACGUGGAGCGGGAGACACUGAUUUGAUACAGCCAUCUCUGAAAAACCCAGCUUCAUGUCACACGGCACAUGUAAAUCCAAUCGUCUUGCAUCCCAGACUCCUUGGAGCAUAUCACCAGCAGUGGUAGAAAUGACAACUGUGAUGCCUCCCUUCAUCUUCUUAAGGCUACGAGGAACAGUGGCAUAAACAUGAAGUUCAUGAUGUGUCACCGCUAGAAGAGGUUCCUAAGUAAUAACUUGUGGAAAGCUUGCAAUUCUUAUUGAAUUUCCUGGUAAACUAAUUAUGUUGAGUCCAUGAAAUGUCAAGUUAUACAUAAUAUAUUUUUAAGUUCUUAAACUAAUGGAUUGACUUUAGAGACAAUGUAGGGUAUGGUUAGGAGUGUGGGCUGUGGAGUCAAAUGAAACUGGGUUCUCAUCUGGUUCUGCCACGUAUUAACUGUGUGACCUUAGCGAAAGAUUCUUAACCUCU